GGCGGGGGGGUUGGGGUGUUCUCGGUCGCUUGAGAGGUAUUCGCCGCGGUGAGGAGAACCAUGGGUCAGGCGGCGAAGGUUUUACACCUCUUUAAAACAUUGCACAGGACCAGACAACAGGUUUUUAAAAAUGAUUCUAGAGCAUUAGAAGCAGCCAGAAUAAAAAUAAAUGAAGAGUUCAGAAGUAAUAAAAGUGAAACUUGUCCUAAGAAAAUAGGAAAGCUAAUAAAAAUAGGUGCCGAUGUUGAAUUGUUACUCAGAACAUCUGUUAUACAAGGUAUUCAUACAGACCACAGUACACUGAAUGCAAGACAACAGCAGCAAUGAGAACAAAAACCACACAUGAAGGGUAGCAGAGCAGGAAGAAAAAGAGCCUGGAUUCUUAAUGAAUUGAUCCCCAGGAAAGACCUUCUUAUAGAAAAUGUGCCAUAUUAUGAUGCACCUACUCAGAAGCAAUGAAUUUUCUAGGAUGAAAUCAAGUCUUUGUAAUGUUUUCUCUGACCUGGCAUUUUGGCAGUGAAUUAAUUUAAGUAUAGUUUUAUAAUUAAAUUUCAGGUUAGGACAUUGCUUAAAAUGCAGAACAUAGUUAAAAGUGUUUCUAAAGAGCAUUAGGUAAGACAUUUCAUUUUCAUUGAAAACCAAACUUUAAAAAGUUAAAUAUAUGCUUAGGGAGGGAUAUCAUAUUCAGUUCUCUUUGGCCUUGAUGAGUAUUUUGGUUUUACCAUAACUAUUUGAGAAUGCAGUGUUUUGACAAUUUGGUGGGUUUUCCUCCCAUGUAAAGUGAAUCUGUCAGAUUAAAAUUACUGGCUUAAAAUAAUGUCCCCAAUCAUUAAAUUUGUCAAAGAAUUUCAGUGUGUGCCAACUCUCCAUAGAAGGUGGGUUUUGUUUCCUAAAGCACUGAAAUUGUUUUUGUAGCUAAAAAAUAAUGAUACAGUUUCCUUUUAAAAAUAGUAUCUUUGUGUUUCUAUAAAAACAUUUUAAAAUUAGUCUUCUAAAGAUAGAUGAAUAAAAUAUCAAAAUUACCUAGGAUCACUGUGUGAUAAAAUAAUUCUAAAUUUUUUAGGAAAUAGUGGCCCUUGAUCAAACUAUAUUCUGUAGCCUUAGUAGGAUUAGCUGUACUUACACCAGAGUUAGACUUUAUUGUGAAUAUGUAAUAUGUGGCUGCAUUCUUUUAAUUUUAACCAAUUAAAUUUAAAUGUCUUUUCUUCUUCCUCAUGUCCCAUUCCUGAGAAGAUUGGCAGUAUUACAAAACAGCUUGUCAUUCUACCAUCUAAUGGUAGGAACUCAUAAAAUUGUAUUUAAUGUUCUUCUUGUUUCACUUUUGUCUUGCAUCUUUACCAUUCUGUUUUCUCAAUGAACAGUGUGUUCUGUCCUUUUCACUGAUCAUUUCUCCCAUUCGAUGAAUACCUUGACAGAGUUUUUCAUUUUUACAAGAUUCUCAGUGCAAGCUUUGUUUGUUGGCAGACAUAUUGGUAUAGCAAUACUGGAUAUAAAAUGUCAUAUUUUAAAGUAAUUUAAUUUUAGGAGAUCAAAAAAUUAUCAAAAUCAUUUAGACAUAUAGUCAGUAUUCUACUGGGUAAACUACAUCUAUAUAGUGUUUAUUUUGUAACCCACUUACAGAAUUUUAAGAAUGAUGACUAUCUUAAGUACCUAACUUCUCUUUGGUACAUGUCAACAUUUAAUUAAAUAUUUUUAAUUUAGUUUAAAAAAAAAGCUUCUCAUAUUUCCCCAAGGAAGUUGCCCACUUCUAACAUUUCCUUUUGACUACUGAAAUCUUGUGAAAGUGGGUUUUACAAAUUCUAAGUGCAGAUAUCUAGGCUCAGAGGCUCAGCAUGACUGUGUGAAACAAUCUUUUGGCAGAAGUUAGAAAGAGUGAAUGGCAGGAGAAUCAUAUUUGUCAAGUGUGUGAGGAAAGAAUCCUUCACUGAUGAUUUGAAGCUGGAGGAAUAUAUGACAGAUAGUUUGCAUAACAUCUAAUUUGGAACAUUAAAAUUAAGAUUUAACUCAAAUAGUGUUUAAGUUGGUUCUUAUUUUAUCUGCAGUUUCAUUUCUUAAUAUUAGUACAGUGUCCAAAAAGCACACGAUAAUGAGAAUAAAUGGAACUUCUAUGCUCAUGGACAAAAUAAACCAUUUAGUUGUAAACACAAUGAAUGCCAUAUGUCAACAAAGAAAUGAAAAUUCCAAUUCUUAAGUAGAGUUUUAUAAAGCAAAAGUAAUAAAUACAAAAUUAAUAUAACUUUGCUAUAUAUCAGCUAUAACCAAUUAGAAAAUAAAUGGAAAAAUUCUGCUUAUAAUAGUAAACUAUAAAAUAGGAAUGGACUUUUUAGAAAACCUGAAAAACUUAAAUAUUAAGGACGCACUGUAUUCUUAGAUGGGACAGCUGAAAAUUAUGGAGAUAACAGUUCCUUAAGUGUAAUCGAGCAAAAUCCCAACAGAUUGACAAAUAGAUCUGUAUAAAAAAUACAAUAAAACAUCUGUCUUCUGUAAAAACCACUAUAAAUAGUUCAGAGAAAAUACUUUCCACUAAAGUAAUGAUUAAAAUAGUUAAUAUAUAAGGUGCUCCUGUGGCUUAUUUAGCAACAAGUAACUCAGUAGGAAAAUGGGCAAAUGAUAGAAAUAAGAAAGAAGAAAUAUUAAACUUCUGUAAUGAUCAGAGAAAUAUAAAUUAAAAUGAAACAUUUUUGUUCAUCAAAUUUAUAGAAGUUAAAGAAAUUGAUUGUGUCCAGUAUUUGCAAAGGUGGAAGAAUGUGGAAAUAGGUACUCUCUUGUAUUUCUGGAAGAAAUGUAAGUUAUAGGACCUUUUUGAAGGAAAGUUGACAUCAAAAUUUGAAAUAAACAUACUAUUCAGUCUAUAUUUUCAAGAACUGUAAGGAUACUAAUAAAUGUACACUCAGAUGUAUAUACAGAAAUUUCUGUAGCAUUGGUUAUAAUUUUUAGAAAUUGAUAACAGCCUAAAUUUCCAAACAUAGAGGAACAGUUAAAGAAAGUGUGUCUCAUCUGUACAGUGGGAUAUUAAAAAGGAAUUGAAAAAAAUGGCAAAAUAUCUAGUCUAGAAAGAAGCAAGUCACAAAGUAUAUGUUCUCUAUGAAUUCACUUAUAUACAAAACAACUAUUUUUGCUCAUAUCAUAUAUAUAUGCAUAUAUAUGUACAAAGGCAUAGAAAUAAUAUGUGCUAAAUGUUAGUAGACAGGGAGGUAAAUGAGAUUUAUGGAAGGAGACAAGUAAAUUGAGAACUGAUACUCCUGCAUGUUUAAAUAUUUUUUACAGUGAGUAUAUCAACAUAUAAAUUUUAAAGGACUACUCCUAAGCUAUUAGUGCUUUUUUUUAAAAUUCUCAAUUAUGAAAUAUUUCAAAUAUUAGCAAUUAGUAUGUCAGACACUAGUGAAUGCCCACAUUUGACAGAUGUUACAUUUUGCAUUAUUUGUUUAAAGAUCUCCUUCCUUUUAAGUCAAAAAAUCUUAUAAAGCUUAAGUCCUACCUCCCUUUUCUUUCUCCUGACUCAUUUCAGGGAUAGUCACUGUUUUACAGUUGGAGGAUAUUAUCCCCAUACUUGUUUUUAUGCUUUUACCAAAUGUGUAUUAUUCAAAACAUUAUAUAGUAUAUGUAACAUAUAUAGCGUGUAUAGAUAUUAAAAAUAUAAUAUAAUAUAUAUAUGACAUUAUAUAGUACAAUAUAAUAGCGUAUAUAUAUAUAAUAGUUUUGUUUUGCGGUUUCAAAUGUUAAGUGAAUGGUAUUAUGCUCCAUGUAUUCUGCCGCUUAGUUUUCAUCAUACAGUAGGUUUUAGAAAUGUAUGUGUAUUGUUGCAGAAAUAUCUAGGUCUUUCACUUUUAUCUUUUAUUCCUUUGUAAGAAUAAACUAUAUUGUUUAUCCAUGUCUCUUGAUAAA
Molecule: non-coding RNA, 3885 nt
Organism: Manis javanica (Malayan pangolin)
Lineage: Eukaryota; Metazoa; Chordata; Mammalia; Pholidota; Manidae
Source: RefSeq, a predicted model, not a curated record